AUGACACUAUUGACAUAGGAGAGGCUAAGAGGAAGCUACUCUUCGUCAUCAUGCCUACUUCUUAAGAGGGGUAAGUUUGUCUUUUCAAGUUGUGGUGUUUUGUGGCUUCUUCAACCCUCCACACGUGUCCUAACUAAAACAGUAACAUACCGCUAAUUACACCACUAACUAGGCAGUAACACACCCCUAGAAGAAGAACAUUGUACAUAUGUUUCAUCGGAUUCAUUUGGCGGUGCUUCCUCCUGCUUAAUUUGACUGCAUUAUCGCAAUGGAACAGAGGCUUAACAUUGAAGCAAUCAUACUAUCAGUUAAAGAAUGGACCUGCAAGGUUUUGGUGGUUGAUAAAUAUCGCCCUUGCGAGAGAAAAAAUUAGACUGUUCAUUUCUAGACAAUAAUUGUACAGGAUGAAAACGUCAGCUUACUACUCUUAUCUCUCCACAGUGACUGCAUCAAGAAUGUUUAGACAUAUUAAAGACCUCUUCUAAUUUGGUCAAUUGCAGGAGGAACAGAUUUUGAUAGUUUUGUACGGUAAUGACAUUAGCAGGUGUCAUAAACUGUUCACCCCUUUCCAGACAUAUCUGGUUUCAAGUGCAAGGGUUAGGGAA
Molecule: long non-coding RNA, 605 nt
Organism: Solanum dulcamara
Lineage: Eukaryota; Viridiplantae; Streptophyta; Magnoliopsida; Solanales; Solanaceae
Exons: 2
Source: RefSeq, a predicted model, not a curated record